UUUUUUUUUAUCUUAAAACGAAUAUCAGAUAUAUUGGACGCUAACAGGUGAAGAUAGCUGAUCAGUCUAUCAACACCGGACGGCUCUAGUCGGCCAUCACGAAAUAAUGUUCCGGAACCUAAAGACUAGCUAGGUCUUUAGACGCUGGACUAGGUGGUUUCACAGUGUACACAACCACACUAGCCUCUUACGCCACCAUGCUGGGCCGUUACCGAAUAACGGACCUCUUACGCAGCUCCAAAAGAAUAUCUGAUCCAUUUCCAGUUUCCAAUUUGAUUUGUAUCCAUCCCAUUUUCAAAACCAUUACAUGAUAUUCAUGAAUCAAUACCAUGUCUCAAAGAAUUAUAUCACAGGUUUAGCAAUGAUAAUCACUAAACAUUUUCAGAAUUUGAAUUUCAUCCGGGAUAGAUAUUCACAAGUUACUAUUCCCCUAAAACAAUUUAAAAGAUAUUAAAAUCCAUAGAAACUGGGGAAUACGUACUUAAAACAUUUAAUAUUUGAAUCAUUUGAUAAAGACAUGCAUUCUUGCUCUACAUUAUCCAUAUAUGUAAUCUGAACCAUCAAGAGUAUGAUCAGGGGUACUUGCAAUAUAUCAACAAAGUUCCAGAGUACUUGUAAUAUAUCUAAAAGAAGGUUUCAAGAUACUUGCAUAGUAGGAUUUGAAGAAAGUAUCACUUGAAUGAUAAGUGAGGAUAGGGAUACUUGUACUUUCAAAUAUAUAAGACAGAAAUGGAAUACUUGCCUUUGGUCCUUAGCUUAUACACUCUUAGCUAACAUCCUUAUCUUAUUCUGCUUUCUCAAGACAUCACCAUCAACUAUUCCUGAUUCUUUGCUAUGUCGCUCAUGCGGUUGCUGCAGCCUGAUACGAAAUCUUAUCUAACUUUAAUCUUGAUCCCCAACGUCUGGUUCUAUUUGUCUCGAACAAUCUGUAACUACUGAACCGCUAUACAACUCUCACCUUUUCCUGCCUUUGCUUGGUAGCACGCUCUCAAUGCUCGAUCCUAUUAUAAGCAAAAAGAUACUAUUUUAGUAUCCUUCCGAAACGAGUAUCCUAUUUCUACCCUUUCGUGAUAUAUAUACAUGGCACAUUGUAUAGCACAUAACAAGUAGCACACGUUAUAGUUUUAUAACUUACAACCAACUCAGAAUAUUAUUUAACACGAGAACGCGUAACUUAAGUUAAUAUUUCUACAGAAAAUUCGGCAUGACCUAUUCGUAAAUAGGACUAUCCCCCUGUUUUCAAAUCAAUCAAAUCAAGCUCUUUAAACUAAAUAAAAUACUAAUAUAAAGAAAAUCUGCCUCGACAUGCAGUAAAUCACAUAAGAAAAGUACCCGCCCCGACAUGCGGCACCUAGCACAUAAUGAUAAAUAAUCCGCCCAGACAUGCGGCACCUAAACACAUAAUGAUUGAAAGAAACUAACAGCUUAUCUUUAAAACGGAAAGUAAUUCAAUAUUAAUACAUUAUACUAUCAAGAAUAACACUUUAACAUUUAACACGUAGCACUUAGCAGGUAUCACAUAUUUCCAUACAUUUACUUACCACUUACCAUAAUACUCAAUUUGGGAUACUCUUCAAUUCAAAUAUUCAAAUAUAUACAAGUUGAAUUAAAUAAGCAUAGCGUUAUAACUAUUUAAGAUAUCGCAUAUUUAUAUUAUUAAUAUUAUUAUUUACUAUCAUUAUUACUAGUGAAAGUAAUAAUAAUAAUAAAGAAUAAUACUAAUAUUUAUUAAUAUUCGACAUCUUAAAAAUUACCAAGUAAACACAGUUUCACACAUUAACAUCAAUAAUAAUACUAUGUAGUACUGCUAUUACUACCAAAUCACAUAAAUAUUAUUUAUAGAUUUUAUAGAAAUAUCACAAAUCAGUAACUAUGUAAAUUCGAUUAAUAGUCCGAUAAUUAUAGGAUACGCUCCCGUAUAAUUUUAAAAUCUAAAUUUUAUUUAAAAAAUCGGGCAGCACCUCCUCUAUUUAUCGGACUACCAGUCGAUAUCAUAUCGACACAACAAAUCCCAACAAAACCUGUAAUCAAUCCAAAUAACUUACUUUAUAACUACUAUCCAACAAUCAAUACUCAACCCAACGAACCAACAACCGAAAUAAUAACCAAAAGAGUGUCAAAAUCAGUUUUAUGACUCGAGCCACACAACAAUUUACACAGCCACGUAUAAUCAAUUAACAAACUCGGCCCCACACCAAAAACAUAUACACGCAGCACACGCACACGACUCACAUCAGUGCCUACUCGGUCAACACACACAGUUGACCCACACACCCGAAAACAUAUACACGCUGGUAUACACACACAGACCAGAUUAUACACACACCAAUCGCACACAUAUACAUACAAUAUACAGUAGCCCCAAAACAGAAGAAAACUAGCAGGAAAAGGGGAGAAAAAUAGGAGAGAAACCGGAGGAAGAGGGAGAGAUUGAAGCCGGUGGUGCCCGGGGUCGGAGCAGCGCGGCGACUGGAAGCAGGGGCGGCCGGAAAACGAGGAACCAGCGGCGACUGGGGCGGUAAAUGGCGGCGUCGGAAAGUGAGAGUGGAGAGAGAUCGAGUAAGAGGAGAUUGUGCGAGGGAGAGGAAAUCCGAGAGAGAGAUUACGGGAGAGAGAUUUCAGAGAGAGAGAAGAGCGAGAGAUUGAGAGAGAUGAGGUGAGGUGGAGAGAUUAACAAUAAAAAAAAAAUAAAAGUUUUAUAUACUGAAAGUGUAGGAACCAGACACGUAUCGUAGUUUAGUUAAAAACAUAACGCGUGUCCCCUUCUGGCUAGCCUGGUUCCGAACAAAUUAACGAACAACUCACAGAUAAAAUGAUCCAGAUAAAUACCGAAAGAGUUUUAAAAAUCUUAAAAUAUUUAAAAACUAAUAAAAUAUGAUUUUCAUGAUUUUUAGAUCAUUUUUGAAAUAAAUAGAAAGACCCCACUUGAAUCUAUACGGAAAAUCAUUUAGAGCUGAAGAAUUAUCAAAAUAUUGUUUUAUGAAUUUUAUAAAUCUCUAAAAAUAUUUAAUGAAAUCAUAAAGCGAUAAAAAAAAUGAUUUUAUAUGCAAUACACCAUUUUAUAUAAUUAAAUCAGUAUAAAAUCCAUAACAAAUGCAAAUCGAUAACACAGCUCAACAAUCCAAUAGAAAUAAAAUACACUGACUCUCGAUAAUAUAAUCACAUAAUAAUCAUUUAGAAUUUUUCAAAAUAAUAUAUGAAACUCAAUUUUGAAGAAACAAUUAUAUACCAAUAACACAAUAACCCGGAGUUUAAAUAUAACAUUUUGAAAAUUGAAAUGGAAUAAAAUAUUAAAUCUCAUUCCCUUCCUUUAGAAAAUCACUUUCAUGAUAAUAAAUAGAUUUUAAAAAUUCAGGUCAUUACAAUCUACCCUCCUUAUAAGGAUUCCGUCCUCGGAAUCAAAGAAAGAAGGAGGACACGUAAUCUACUAAUCCACGAAACAUAUAUAGACCAUCACACAAUAUUCAAUUAAAGACAACCAUAAUAUAUAAACAAAUUAGACCUAUAAUAAUCAUAUCUGAAUUAAAAAUCUAGGAUAUUACAUUCAACCCCCCUUAUAAGGAUUCUGUCCUCAGAAUCCGCGAAGAGAACUAAAACAUACACGCUUCGCAAUAUCGUAUCGUCAUCCACUAUUGAUUAACCUUGGCAUACCCUCAACUUUAAGGGUAUAGGAAUCUUAAAAUUUUCGCAAAUGCAGAAUUAACUUUCCGGAAUAAUUCUUUGAGAAUUUGGCCAUAAAACAAAAAUGUUUUCAAAAUAGGUUUCAUCUGAAUAAACGAGUGACUGAGAGAUCAAUAUGAUCCAACGAACUUAGUGUUGCGUGCCCAUAUUAGACACUACUAAAGGUUAUCAGCCUUCUUGUAAUCACAACACACACAAGUGAUGGCGUCCCAUCAAACUUCUAUCACACAGACAGAUAGUCCUUGUGUCCCCUAUAGUAGGGUUGUUCAUCUCAGUUAGAGUGGAAAAUAUGAAAAUUUUAAAAUCAACCAACAAUGAUUGACUUUUAAGAAAUGAAUCUUUAAUAUGAACCUUAAGAGUUGAAAUCGAAUAGCUUCCAAAGAUACAAAUUUUUGACAAAGGGACUUCAUGAAUGUCUUUAUAGAAGAGAUAUUAAAACAAUUCACUAACUGUGAAAAUGCUCAAUAAAAUCAAUAUUGAGGAUGGUAUUGCCAAGGCUAUCACAUAUGUCUUCUCGAUCGAUUUUUCUGAUAACUCGUUUCGAUUCUACGAUAUAUAUUAUUAACUUAUAUUCACCUUCGUAGAUCCCGUCACCCAUAUCCACGUUAGGUAGAACACCUGUCGAGCUUGGUACUUUCAGAAGUCAUAUCCAACUUUGCACAAUCAGCAGUGUAGAGCAUUGAGGUUGUAACCUACUCAUAAUACUAUAUCGAGUAGUCUACCACUCUUUCUAUAUAAUUUUCAAAUAAAGAACUAUACACCUGGCCUCUCACAAUGAUCCAUCAAAUCUCAUAUUCCUUCUAUAUGACUUCAUAAGAAUAAUAGAUGACCCUCGAACAAAUACUCAAAAAGUGGUAGAGAUGACAAGGAACACUCAAGACUAGAUAGGUCAAUACACAAGUCUAGCUGCCUCUGGUUACUCAGAAAGUCAAACUCAAGUUCAAAAAGAUUGAAAACUAAAGGUUCCAUCAUGUCCCUGAAAUCCAACUCACUAGUUCUCGAAUUAGAAACUAGGAUAUCCCAAAUGAUUACUUGAAAUCAAUGCUCCAAUAUCUACCUCAAUUCUAUCAACAAAGACUAUACCAAAUAGUCUUGACUUAUCUCUAGUUGAGGUCCCACUAAACACAAUCCUAAUACAACCUACAUUCUGAUUUCAAUAACUUAUAACCUGUAGCUCUGAUACCAACUGUGACAGCCCGCAAAUCCGGGGGUCUGGAUUUGGUGCCACUAAAAGAAAAACAAUUUAAAAUCUGUAAUUUUUUUUUUUUUUUUUUUUUUUUGAAAGAAAGUAAUAACAAACAUUUCAAAACCCUGAGGUUUUUUUUUUUUUUCUUUUCUAUAUAAGGUUUUGAAGAAAGACACUUUUGAACCUUUUAAAACACUUUUGAAAAACUAUAUUUCUGAAAACCAAAUAAUUUAAAACCUGAAAGCAUUAAUAAAAGGUUUAAAAGGAAACACUUUAACCCCCUAAAAACAGGAUCGCAUCCAGGUUACAGUAUUGAAAUCAGAAAACAAACAACCUGAUCUCUGAUGUACUUAACCACUUAGAAUCCUUGCAGCUUAGCAUCACUCUCAUACGCAGCCUAAUCUGAUAAUCCAUCUCUAGCCUUAGCUGAAAGGUUUAGAAUUGAAAAGCAAGAAUGAGCUAAAAUACUCAGCAAGUUCUAGUAGUAAAACAGUUGUAUGAAGAUAGUUUGCAAGGGUAAGUUAUCAAAUGCUCGGCAGUACCAAUAGGAAUAAACAAGAUAUAUGAUCGUAAAAUUGUUUAUAAGAGCAAGAGUAUAGCAAUCAUGCAUGCUUUGAGUAUAAAGCAGUCACCAUCAUUUGAUAUAAGAAAACUGGAAAUCAACUUUUAUUAGCAUGCUCAAAAAUGUGAUAAUCAUAAGUUUUAGUUUCAAAAUUUUAUCACUAGCAUGCUAUAAUACAUUUUUUUAUCUUAAAACGAAUAUCAGAUAUAUUGGACGCUAACAGGUGAAGAUAGCUGAUCAGUCUAUCAACACCGGACGGCUCUAGUCGGCCAUCACGAAAUAAUGUUCCGGAACCUAAAGACUAGCUAGGUCUUUAGACGCUGGACUAGGUGGUUUCACAGUGUACACAACCACACUAGCCUCUUACGCCACCAUGCUGGGCCGUUACCGAAUAACGGACCUCUUACGCAGCUCCAAAAGAAUAUCUGAUCCAUUUCCAGUUUCCAAUUUGAUUUGUAUCCAUCCCAUUUUCAAAACCAUUACAUGAUAUUCAUGAAUCAAUACCAUGUCUCAAAGAAUUAUAUCACAGGUUUAGCAAUGAUAAUCACUAAACAUUUUCAGAAUUUGAAUUUCAUCCGGGAUAGAUAUUCACAAGUUACUAUUCCCCUAAAACAAUUUAAAAGAUAUUAAAAUCCAUAGAAACUGGGGAAUACGUACUUAAAACAUUUAAUAUUUGAAUCAUUUGAUAAAGACAUGCAUUCUUGCUCUACAUUAUCCAUAUAUGUAAUCUGAACCAUCAAGAGUAUGAUCAGGGGUACUUGCAAUAUAUCAACAAAGUUCCAGAGUACUUGUAAUAUAUCUAAAAGAAG
This 6238-nucleotide long non-coding RNA is filed under the name Daucus carota (carrot). Its description in RNAcentral is "long non-coding RNA (DCAR_LNC002638)". Lineage: Eukaryota; Viridiplantae; Streptophyta; Magnoliopsida; Apiales; Apiaceae. The record is from RNAcentral.